Molecule: ribosomal RNA, 422 nt
Filed under: Tomocerus paraspinulus
Lineage: Eukaryota; Metazoa; Arthropoda; Collembola; Entomobryomorpha; Tomoceridae
Description: partial large subunit ribosomal RNA
Source: RNAcentral
ACAUUUCUUUUAGAUUUUUUUAAAGGUAAAGUCUGCCCACUGUAAAUUAAUAAAGGGCCGCGGUAUUUUGACCGUGCAAAGGUAGCAUAAUCAUUAGUCUCUUGAUUGGGGAAUGGAAUGAAUGGCUUAAUGAUUUUUUUCUUUUAUUUAUAUUAUAUUAUAAUUUUGAUUUUAAGUGAAAAUACUUAAAUUUUCUAAUAAGACGAUAAGACCCUAUAGAAUUUUAUUUCUAUUUUUAUUUAUAUAUUUAUUGAAGUUUAAAUGGGGCAUUUUUUGAAUAAGAAUAAUUUCUAUUAAGUUUUUAUAAAAUAUCUUUAUUUUUAGAUUAUGAAAAAAUUACCUUAGGGAUAACAGCGUAAUGAUUUUUAAGAGUUCAUAUCGACAAAAUAGUAGCGACCAAAGAUAUGAAAUAAAAUUUCGAC